GAGCGGCGAACGGGUGAGUAACACGUGAGCAAUCUGCCCUUCUCAUCGGAAUAACCAUUGGAAACGAUGGCUAAUGCCGAAUACGACCUCCUUUCGCAUGAUCGGAGGUGGAAAGCUCCGGCGGAGAAGGAUGAGCUCGCGGCCUAUCAGCUAGUUGGCGGGGUAACGGCCCACCAAGGCGACGACGGGUAGCCGGCCUGAGAGGGUGACCGGCCACACUGGGACUGAGACACGGCCCAGACUCCUACGGGAGGCAGCAGUGGGGAAUAUUGGACAAUGGGCGAAAGCCUGAUCCAGCAACGCCGCGUGAGGGAUGACGGCCUUCGGGUUGUAAACCUCUUUCAGCAGGGACGAAGCGAAAGUGACGGUACCUGCAGAAGAAGGACCGGCCAACUACGUGCCAGCAGCCGCGGUAAUACGUAGGGUCCGAGCGUUGUCCGGAAUUAUUGGGCGUAAAGGGCUCGUAGGCGGUUUGUCGCGUCGGGAGUGAAAACUCAGGGCUUAACCCUGAGCGUGCUUCCGAUACGGGCAGACUAGAGGUAUUCAGGGGAGAACGGAAUUCCUGGUGUAGCGGUGGAAUGCGCAGAUAUCAGGAGGAACACCGGUGGCGAAGGCGG
RNAcentral lists this ribosomal RNA (617 nucleotides) under Aeromicrobium sp. RNAcentral's name for it is "bacterial SSU rRNA". It matches the Rfam family "Bacterial small subunit ribosomal RNA", at positions 93 to 724 of the family's 1533-position model. The record is from RNAcentral. Lineage: Bacteria; Bacillati; Actinomycetota; Actinomycetes; Propionibacteriales; Nocardioidaceae.